RNAcentral lists this ribosomal RNA (208 nucleotides) under uncultured bacterium. RNAcentral's name for it is "partial 16S ribosomal RNA". It matches the Rfam family "Bacterial small subunit ribosomal RNA", at positions 524 to 732 of the family's 1533-position model. The record is from RNAcentral.
UACGUAGGGUGCGAGCGUUGUCCGGAAUUAUUGGGCGUAAAGGGCUCGUAGGCGGUUUGUCGCGUCGGGAGUGAAAACCAGGUGCUUAACACCUGGCUUGCUUUCGAUACGGGCAGACUAGAGGUAUGCAGGGGAGAACGGAAUUCCUGGCGUAGCGGUGAAAUGCGCAGAUAUCAGGAGGAACACCGGUGGCGAAGGCGUACUACCU